This 492-nucleotide ribosomal RNA is filed under the name uncultured bacterium. Its description in RNAcentral is "partial 16S ribosomal RNA". It matches the Rfam family "Bacterial small subunit ribosomal RNA", at positions 29 to 507 of the family's 1533-position model. The record is from RNAcentral.
AGUGAACGCUGGCGGUAGGCCUAACACAUGCAAGUCGAACGGCAGCACAGUAAGAGCUUGCUCUUACGGGUGGCGAGUGGCGGACGGGUGAGGAAUACAUCGGAAUCUACUUUUUCGUGGGGGAUAACGUAGGGAAACUUACGCUAAUACCGCAUACGACCUACGGGUGAAAGCAGGGGAUCUUCGGACCUUGCGCGAUUGAAUGAGCCGAUGUCGGAUUAGCUAGUUGGCGGGGUAAAGGCCCACCAAGGCGACGAUCCGUAGCUGGUCUGAGAGGAUGAUCAGCCACACUGGAACUGAGACACGGUCCAGACUCCUACGGGAGGCAGCAGUGGGGAAUAUUGGACAAUGGGCGUAAGCCUGAUCCGGCCAUACCGCGUGGGUGAAGAAGGCCUUCGGGUUGUAAAGCCCUUUUGUUGGGAAAGAAAAGCAGCAGGUUAAUACCCCGCUGUUCUGACGGUACCCAAAGAAUAAGCACCGGCUAACUUCGUG